GCCAUUUUCUGCAGGGCAGCGCGCAUUCGUAAUGCGGGGGUCACAGGUUCGAGUCCUGUAAGCGGCACCA
This 70-nucleotide transfer RNA is filed under the name Sphingomonas sp. BE123. Its description in RNAcentral is "tRNA-Thr". It matches the Rfam family "tRNA". Rfam says of the family: Transfer RNA (tRNA) molecules are approximately 80 nucleotides in length. Lineage: Bacteria; Pseudomonadati; Pseudomonadota; Alphaproteobacteria; Sphingomonadales; Sphingomonadaceae. The record is from RNAcentral.